Molecule: ribosomal RNA, 140 nt
Filed under: uncultured bacterium
Lineage: Bacteria
Description: partial 16S ribosomal RNA
Rfam family: Bacterial small subunit ribosomal RNA
Source: RNAcentral
CAUGGGGGAACCUGAUGCAGCAACGCCGCGUGAGCGAUGAAGGCCUUCGGGUCGUAAAGCUCUGUCCUAAGGGAAGAAAUUUGACGGUACCUUAGGAGGAAGCCCCGGCUAACUACGUGCCAGCAGCCGCGGUAAUACGA